GGAUAUGGACGAUCAGAACGCUGCACAAAUGAUUUUGGUUGGUAUCCCACUUGACGAACCACACUUGAAGGAUCAUUUGUCUAUUCUUUCAAACACAGAGAAGAAUGAUCUCAGAGCAGGAAAGCUUCCUGUGAGUGAAUCAUACUACCUCAUGGGUACUGUUGAUCCCACCGGAGAGUUGAAGGAAGAUGAAGUCUGUGUCAUCCUGUAUGAUUGCUAAUCACUUUUGAGUCUUUACAUGAUAAAGAAUAGAUGAAGUCUUGUUCAUUUCUGCACUACUUUCUUUGUUGUGGGUUUGUGUAGUGAGUCUGGCCAAAUCUCAGGAAAUGUUCUAGUUUACAGGAAUCCUGGACUACAUUUUGGGGACAUACAUGUACUUAAGGCUACUUAUGUUAAGGCCUUGGAGGGGUAUGUAGGAAACUCCAAGUAUGGUGUCUUCUUUCCUCAGAAAGGUCCAAGAUCUUUGGGAGAUGAGAUUGCAGGUGGUGAUUUUGAUGGUGAUUUGUAUUUCAUCUCCAGAAAUCCAGAGGUAAAUAACACCUUCGUUAGAAAGUAAGGAUAUGAUUUGCUGUAACCUGACUCUCUUUGGUUUGCUAUCUGUUGUAGCUACUUGAACACUUCAAACCAAGUGAGCCGUGGGUGAGUUUGACUCCUCCUACUAAAGGCAACUCUGCUAGAAAGCCAAGCCAUCUUUCACCAGCGGAGCUGGAGGAAGAGCUUUUCGAUAUGUUCUUGAAGGCAAGAUUUAAUGCUAGGUACUCUUAACUUAAGCUCUAGAUUCACAACUGUGUUUUGGAUCAAUCUUUGGGAUUUAUGUUUCUUUUCUCUUGGGUUUACAGCAAUGUUGUAGGGAUGGCUGCUGAUAGCUGGUUAACAAUAAUGGACCGCUUCCUCGUGCUAGGAGAUGAGAACGCUGAGGAAAAAGCUGAAAUGAAGAAGAAAAUGUUAAAGUUGAUUGAUAUAUACUAUGAUGCUCUUGAUGCACCAAAGAAAGGUGCUAAGAUCUUUCUCCCAGACGAGCUGAGGCCUGACAUUUUGUUUAUCUUCAGUCGUAGUCAUCAGUCAAACUUUACGAUAAAAACCGCGGGAAGUUCAUUUUUAUCAAAGAAACCGUAAUAAACGUUUUGAGUCAAAGAACAGUCCAAAGAGAUCUCAAACGCAGCUCGAAGCCCACUUACGAUUUCUUAACUGAAAACCCGUAAGUCUUACGAUGGUUUAUGCUUGGUUCAUAAGGCAAGAUAAAUGUCAAGUUUUCGUGGAUAAAUGUAAAGUUUCCGAAGAUAAUCACGAAGAUCGAAAAAAAUGGAAUAUCUCCAUUUUUGAGCUAUGACGGCUUAAGGGUAGAAAGGAAAAGGCGCAAACUGACAUAAGAGCAAGUAUAUAAGGAGUCCUAGGCGAGAGACAGAAGCAGAGGCAAUACACAGCAAACUUAGCACUUAGAGCAAUUUAGGCAAUUUUCCGUUUUUGUUAUUCGAGCUGCGACUCAAUUAGGUUUAGCAGCCUUAGGGUUUUAGAACUAGGAAUCUCGCCGACAGCUCUCGUAGUCCAGUCUCUUACCUUGUUGUAACGCUCAAACGCGAAUUCGAAAUAAGAUCACAUUUGCUCUCUUUUCGAUUUCUUAUCUUUUAUCGUUUUUAUUUCGUGUUCUGAUUGCUUGGCGUGUGGCAUUAGCAGAUAUCCGGGACCUCUGGGAAAUUAGGGUUCUCCUACUUUCCUUAUUUAAACAGAAAUCGACAGUGUGAAUUUCGGUUCCCACAAUUAACACUUUUGAUCAAACGUGAGAAGAUCUAACAAGCAGCUCAUCUGAAGUUAUAUUAAUGAUUUAUUUGAUCAAACGUGAGAAGAUCUAACAAGCAGCUCAUCUGAAGUUAUAUUAAUGAUUUAUUUGAUCUAAAAAUUUGUCAAAAGUGUUGGAAGAAGCAGUUGUUCCAAGGACAUACAUUCAUAAAACAAUUGUUAGAUCUUCUCACGUUGUGUGUGUCCUGGGAACAACUGAACACUUUUGACAAAUUCUUCAUCCAGCAUAACAUUUUUGUGAAACACAUUAAUAAGUUACAACAUAAAUAUGAACACAACAAACCCAAAAAUCAAGCAAAUAACUUUUGAGAGUACAAUACAUAUAACUCUGCUGCUUUGUGUGGCUAACCAUACACCACUCUUCAUAUUAUGAGAUGUCGCGCAACCGGAAGUCCUGAAAAGCGUAACUUUAAAUAAGCAUUUAUCAUUUAGAGGCUGAGAUAGACACAUCAAAAAAAAGGAAAAUGAUAAUUUUUAAUGAGGUGGGUAGUCCCUUGAUGAUUUCCUGUCAACUACAUACACACACACACUUCUGUUAAGAAAGGGAACACUUGAGAAGAAUCAAAAAAUCAAAAAAUCAAAAAAUGCAAAUGGACCUGUGUUGUUCCGUGAGGUAAACAGCAGAAUACAGCAUCCACUGUAGAAAAGCCUGCAUCCUCUACGGAGAUCAGCCUAGGUAGUAGUUUCGGAGGGCAGGAAGAAAGGUUUUAAUCAUUGAUCACUUAUAUAUACAGAAAAUGAUUUAUAACACUAAAAAAGUUUUUGUCACAAAUAUACUCUCUAAAAAUAAAAAUGACCAAAAUAGCACUUAAUGUUUUAUCAAAAGAGAUAAAUAUACACCUAUACUCCAAUGGUAAAUUAAUUUAGACAUUAGGGUUUAGAGUUAAGAGGUAAAGUUUAUGAUUUAGGAUUUAGGGUUUAGGGUUUAGGGUUUAGGGUUUAGAGUUUAUGGUUUAGGGUUUAGAGUUUAGGGGUGGGGUUUAGGGUUUAGGGUUUAGAAUUAAGGGAUGUGAUUUAGGAUUUAGGGUUUAGGAUUUAGGAUUUAGGGUUUAGGGUUUAGGGUUUAGGGUUUAGGGUUUAGGGUUGGGGAGUGGGGUUUUGGGAUAAGAUUUCAAAUUUUGAAAAUUAAAAAAAAAUUAAAUUUUUCAAAAGAUAAAAUGUUAUUUUGCUCAUUUUAGUUUUUGAGAACUAUUUUUGUGACAUAAACUUAUAAAAGUGCUAUUUUGGAGAUUUGCCCCUUAUAUAUAUGCCAUCACUGAGCCGUAGAUACAUAGCUCUUGAAAUUUUUGUUAGAGAUGGAAAUCACUGAUACUUGAGCUCUUAGGUGAGGUGAGGGAAGACGCUUUCCAUUGACUGGCCAGCUUUUCUAUCAGCAGUCAUGAGAGUGACACCGAAAUGCGGAUGAUUUGCAAGAAGCCAUAGGAUCUGCUGCCAUUCAAUUGAAAAGGGGAUUCCAAGUCAUUAUUUGUUAAAAUUUGGUAAUGCAUUUGGAAUCAAAACUAAGAUACCUCAUUUAUUCUUUUUAAUGUGAUGCCAAAAAACCUUAAAACCGAUGACGUUGAAGGUAUUCUUUUUUUUCAAUGAGCAAAUAAGGGAUUCAAAGUCAUUUGUUAAAAUGUGCUAAUGCAUUUGGAAUCAAAACUAACAUUCUUUUUAAUGUAAUGUUAAAGAACCUUUAAACCCAAUAACUAUAAGGUAUUUCAUUUCCUAUAUUCAUGAGACAAUUUACCGCAAGUACCACCACCCUUUUGCCGGACGAAGUUUGCUAAACUUUUCACAUGUUCAAUACUUAAAGCUAAAUCAGAAGGGCCAAUGCCUAAAAAGCUACAGACUUGCAACAAUGAUGCAUACCAAUAAUGUUCUGAUUCGUUUUAAAAAACCAACGAGAUCACUUGAAAAAAGCUAAAUUCCGAAUGAACUUGUAAAAAUGUAAACUGCACAUUUUGUAUGAUGAUCAGAUUGCAGGAAAAAAAAACUUGAAAUAAGUAAACAACAACUGAGCUAAAAAAAGAAUCGAAAGUGCGUUUUCAUUUAGGAACAGAGGAUGUUAAGAAUUUUAGAGAAGUAAUUACCUUAGAAUCAGCAGGCAUCCUCGUCCGAAGCAAACUGAGCUCAAACUCGACGCACCACUCAUAUAUCUUGGAUUCAAUUCACAACACAAGAGAACAAAAGAAAAGCAUAGACCUUUUGCUUUUGGAUAUCUUUACUAAUGUUAAAAGAAAAGGAAUUUAGACUUUCUAUUAUAUCGAAAACUCCUUAAGACCUUUGGAGCGUCACGGAGAAUUUAAGCGAGUGCGGUUGCGUAAGUAAACGCGGCUUACUUCAAAAAGCGGCAGAGGGAAAAUGUGGCUUUAUGGUAAUUUAUGAAUCGAAAGAUAUGGUAUACUUGUCAAUUACAUGUGUAAAAACGGCUCUAAUGAGAGAGAGAGAGAUGUACAAAAUCAUCAUCCCUCAAAAUCAAAUCUAUCAAAUGUCAAAUAAAAUCUAAUAAAAACGGACAGAGAGAGAAUAAAAAAGAUGCAACCUUUCUUCUUCUUUGAGUUGUCAGAUCACAUCAUCACUCUCUUUCUUCGUCAUCAUCGUCAAAACUCUCUGCAUAAAACUGUUUGCACUGGGGGUGUGAGAGUGCUGCUAGAGAGAGUUUAAAGAUGCAACCUUUUUGCUCAUCAUCAUAUCACUGUAGUCUCUUUUAAUUAUUUUUUGUUUUGUUUUAAUAACUGUCUGCAUAAACAAAACAGUCCUUAGUGUUGGUUUGGAAGAAAGAUGAUAACUUGGCAGCGAUCAGUGAUCGUUCUUUCGAGUAGGCUCGAAUCUGUUUUGGAGAAGAUAUACCGCAAACACAAAUGUCCUCCCAUAAACGAAGAGUCAAGGCAGAGACUUUCUUCGAUUCCAGAAGAUUUAGCUUUCGAUUUGCUCAGGAAAGCUUUUAAUUCUCCGGGGAUAUCCAACCUCGACCGCUUCAUCGCCUCUAAGCUUACCCACGCCGUUACUGUUACUAGCUCUCCGACGAAGUCUGCUCCUUGUUCCUCUCAAGGUCAGUAAUAGGAAAGCAGCAGAGAGUCUUUUUUAUGUGUAUAGUUUUACUUUGACUGUGACUGUUACUGAUUGCAGAAGAGAUAUCUAUUCAUUCUGAAGCUCCUUCUUUGAGAAGACAACAAGUCAAUGGAGGAUCUUCUCUUCACAUUCCUCCUCCUCAGCUCUUACUAGCUUUGAGUGAACUUGAAUUCAACAAGGCCUUUCUCUUGCUUACCUACAUUCCUGGGUAUGCCUCCAAAGUUUUCUGACUUUUUUAACCUCUUUUUUCCCUUGAGUUGGUUCUGGUAACAGUUACCCUUUUUUUUGUUUGAUGUUAAACAGGAAAGAUCUGAGUCAGGUUACAAUAACUGCUGAUGAGAUUAGAGGAUGGAAGGAUUUGUCUAUGGUUGCUUAUGAAGCUGCCGUUUGGGACAGUUUGGGACAUAAAUUUUGUUCCCCAACAGACCGUAGAUUGGUAUUUUUUUAUGUUUGCUCUAUUUGGUAUUUUACCUAUAUCUCAUGAUUGAUAUGAAUUCCUAAAGGUGAAUUAACAAGCAAGAGAGACAUAUUUUGUACUGUUUGGGUCUUUAUAUGCUUCCUCUGUUUCUGCAGUCACUGGAAUGUGAUAAUGAGAAGACUAGCUACUACCACUGUCAUGUUGCUUCGGAUGGCAGUUACACAUUCAAGGUUCAGUCCAGUCUUCAACUGCUAUCUUCCGUGUGUACUUUUGUGUUGAAGCAAUUAUUUUGCAAGUCGCUAUCUUAUGUCUAUUUUACAUCAUAGACUCGUUCUACUGGGUGUACUUAUAGAGAGAGACAUUGUACUUUUAGAGAUAUUGUGCUCAGAGUCACAGGGCUGCUAUUCCACAUUUCUUGGUAUCCUUGACUUGAUCUGCUUAUACUAAUGGAGACACUGUUUUCACAGGGCCCUCUUCUUGAACCCACUGGAACACACCUGCAUAAGGUCUUGGGUGAUGCUAAUGUUUUGACGGUCAAAUUUGAGGAUGUCCCGAGAAACUCAUCAACCGACCGUUACACUACAUACCGAAGGAUUGCCAAGAAUGGUAUCAUGCUUGGGUUACGUCGUUAUCAAUUUUUUGGUGGGUCUAUUUUCUCUUGAUUUACUUAUCAUUCAUGUCAACACUUUUUCACUAUUUUAACAUAUUAUUUAUUUGGAGCUUGUUAUUAUAACACUCUGUUGAACAGUUUUCAAAGAUGGUGGAAAAGAAGAAAAGAAGAAAGACUUUUCUACAAAGGGAGUGAAAUGCUACUUCAUACGCACAGACUCCACAUCUGCGAAUGAUAUGGGAAGUCCCUACAUCUUCUCCGGGAAGUCAGUUUAUGAAGCUCGCAUGCAUUUUAUGCAUGUCCACACAUUGCCAUCUUUGGCCAACUACAUGGCAAGGUACCUCAGUUUCUUUUAUAAGUCUCUACUGUUUUUAUCUUUGAGCUUCUGUAGACGUCACUGUGUGUUUUUGUUGAUGCUUCAGGUUUUCAUUGAUUCUAUCAAAGACUAAGAAGCUUGAAGUUGACAUGACUGGGAUCACCUUCGAGAAAAUCGAUGAUAUACACUGCCAUGUACUUUGUCGACUCCUUUGUCCUACAGGAACUGUGUCUCUAUCUAAAGUAGCUUAUACUAGUCGUGUUCAGUCUGUGCUUUAAUCUUUUUCCAUCUCUUCCAAUUGCAGGAUCAAAACAAUAAUGAUGUUCUUGAUAAGAAUGGGAAACCAUGUAUACAUUCAGAUGGCACUGGCUACAUCUCUGAAGAUCUUGCUCGGAUGUGUCCAGUAAACAUAUUAAAAGGAAAAUGUCUCAGAAAUGAUAAUGUUCAAACCCCUGUUCAAGACCCGGUAUGUAUACUAUAGUGAAAACCCCUCUUCAUGCUCCAUUAUAUACUUGUCCAUUACUGAACUCACAAUUACUUUUCCAAACAGCCUCUUCUGAUCCAGUUUCGGAUGUUUUUUGAUGGCUAUGCUGUUAAGGGAACUUUUCUCUUAAACAAGAAAGUAAGUCUGCUCUCUUUUUUUCCCAUUACAAAAUUUGUUUGCGAGCUAUUCCUUAUGUUCCGCCGUAUUUUGGCAGCUUCCUCCUCGGACUGUCCAGGUUCGACCUUCUAUGAUCAAGGUCUCUAAAGAUCCAGCUUUGUCAGAUUUUAGCACUUUUGAUUCCCUAGAGGUUGUCACAACAAGGUAUAUGUUUAUUUGAUACAUCUCUCUUUUAAUGUUAUCCUAGUGACAUCUAGUUGUUUCCAUCAUCCAGUAAUCCACCUAAAAGAACAAAGUUAUCAAAAAACUUGGUUGCGCUGCUUAGCUAUGGAGGAAUCCCUGAUGAAUUCUUUCUGGAUAUAUUGCUCAACACCCUGGAAGAGUACAAAACCAUCUUCAACAACAAACGUGCUGCUCUUAAAGGUUCGUAAUCCUUUAGUCCCUAGAAACUUAUGCUGUAACUAAUGAUUCAUCUUCUAAGAAGCCAUUUUAUUUGAUGCAGCUGCCCUUAACUAUGGGGAUAUGGACGAUCAGAACGCUGCACAAAUGAUUUUGGUUGGUAUCCCACUUGACGAACCACACUUGAAGGAUCAUUUGUCUAUUCUUUCAAACACAGAGAAGAAUGAUCUCAGAGCAGGAAAGCUUCCUGUGAGUGAUUCAUACUACCUCAUGGGUACUGUUGAUCCCACCGGAGAGUUGAAGGAAGAUGAAGUCUGUGUCAUCCUGUAUGAUUGCUAAUCACUUUUGAGUCUUUACAUGAUAAAGAAUAGAUGAAGUCUUGUUCAUUUCUGCACUACUUUCUU
Molecule: long non-coding RNA, 7599 nt
Filed under: Brassica napus (rape)
Lineage: Eukaryota; Viridiplantae; Streptophyta; Magnoliopsida; Brassicales; Brassicaceae
Description: long non-coding RNA (BNAP_LNC003758)
Source: RNAcentral